AAUUCUUCAUAAAUGACUGAGUAAAACUAAAAUAAAUGAAGAAUUUGAGGCAUCUGUCAUCACAGACUCUUCUUUAGGUUUCAAUACUAACUUUGGGAAAUAACAAACAUUUUGGAUGGUUUGGUAGGGACAUACUGAUUGGAUUCAGUAACUUACCUAGUCCUAAUGACAGCUCUUCAUAAUCUUGAACUCUGGUACUUUGACGCCCUCUUUUCUUUAUUUAAAAUUCCUAUGGAUACACUCUGACUUAUCAAUGUAC
This 259-nucleotide long non-coding RNA is filed under the name Bos taurus (domestic cattle). Its description in RNAcentral is "long non-coding RNA NONBTAT020181". Lineage: Eukaryota; Metazoa; Chordata; Mammalia; Artiodactyla; Bovidae. The record is from RNAcentral.